This 930-nucleotide non-coding RNA is filed under the name Pristimantis dissimulatus. RNAcentral's name for it is "12S ribosomal RNA". It matches the Rfam family "Bacterial small subunit ribosomal RNA". The record is from RNAcentral. Lineage: Eukaryota; Metazoa; Chordata; Amphibia; Anura; Strabomantidae.
CACACAGGUUUGGUCCCCACCUUGAAAUCAAUUCUUACUUGACUUACACAUGCAAGUCUCCGCACACCCGUGAAAACGCCCCUACCUCCACCUAGGAGUAAGGAGCUGAUAUCAGGCACAUAACUCUUGCCCAAGACAUCUAGCCAUGCCACACCCAUAAGGGCCCUCAGCAGUGAUUAACAUUAAAAAUAAACGUCAGUUUGACCUAGCCAAUGUAAACAGAGCCGGCCAAUCUGGUGCCAGCCGCCGCGGUUACACCACGUGGCUCAAAUUGAUCCCAUACGGCGUAAAGCGUGAUUAAAGCUACAAACCCCCUACUGGGGUUAAACUUAAACUAAGCUGUAGCACGCUUGUUUUUGAGAAAGCCUGCCUCGAAAGAUACCCCAACCUACUAACUUGAACUCACGAUAGCUGGGAAACAAACUGGGAUUAGAUACCCCACUAUGCCCAGCCAUAAACUUUUACUUACACCUACAACGCCAGGGAACUACGAGCAAAGCUUAAAACCCAAAGGACUUGACGGUACUCCACAUCCCCCUAGAGGAGCCUGUCCUACAACCGAUACCCCCCGUUUAACCUCACCACUUUUAGUCCAUCAGCCUGUAUACUUCCGUCGCCAGCUUACCGCAUGAGCGCACAGUAAGCUCAAUGUCACCCACCAACACGUCAGGUCAAAGUGCAGCUAAUAAAGUGGCAAGAGAUGGGCUACACUCUCUAUCAUAGAAAACACAAAAGACCAUGUGAAACCAUGGCCAGAAGGUGGAUUUAGUAGUAAGAAAAGAGUAGAAUACCCUUCUUAACCCGGCACUGGAGUGUGUACACACCGCCCGUCACCCUCUUCAACAGAUCUAAUCAGUAUUUAACAACUAACUUCUAAGUAGAAGAGGUAAGUCGUAACAUGGUAAGUAUACCGGAAGGUGUGCUUGGAAA